AGCCCCGUAGUCUAGCGGUCAAAGAUACUAGCCUUUGGAGCUAGUGACCCCGGUUCGAAUCCGGGCGGGGCUA
This 73-nucleotide transfer RNA is filed under the name Nanobdellota archaeon. RNAcentral describes it as "tRNA-Gln". It matches the Rfam family "tRNA". Rfam says of the family: Transfer RNA (tRNA) molecules are approximately 80 nucleotides in length. Lineage: Archaea; Nanobdellati; Nanobdellota. The record is from RNAcentral.